CCUACGGGUGGCAGCAGUGGGGAAUAUUGCACAAUGGGGGAAACCCUGAUGCAGCGACGCCGCGUGAAGGAAGAAGUAUUUCGGUAUGUAAACUUCUAUCAGCAGGGAAGAAAAUGACGGUACCUGACUAAGAAGCCCCUGCUAACUACGUGCCAGCAGCCGCGGUAAUACGGAGGAUGCGCGGGUUAUCCGGAUGUAUUGGGUUUAACGGGUGCGUAGGCGGAUCGUUAAGUCAGUGGUCAAAUCGAGGGGCUAAACCCCUUCCCGCCAUUGAAACUGGCGCUCUUGAGUGGAAGAGAGGUAUGCGGAAUGCGUGGUGUAGCGGUGAAAUGCAUAGAUAUGACGCAGAACCCCGAUGGCGAAGGCAGCAUGCCGGCUUCCGACUGACGCUGAAGCACGAAAGCGUGGGGAUCGAACAGGAUUAGAUACCCGUGUAGUC
RNAcentral lists this ribosomal RNA (439 nucleotides) under uncultured bacterium. RNAcentral's name for it is "partial 16S ribosomal RNA". It matches the Rfam family "Bacterial small subunit ribosomal RNA", at positions 338 to 795 of the family's 1533-position model. The record is from RNAcentral.